Molecule: long non-coding RNA, 670 nt
Filed under: Homo sapiens (human)
Lineage: Eukaryota; Metazoa; Chordata; Mammalia; Primates; Hominidae
Description: LHRI_LNC148.1
Source: RNAcentral
GUAAUCCCAGCACUCUGGGAGGCUGAGGUGGGCAGAUCACCUCAGGUCAGGAGUUCGAGACUAGCCUGGCCAACAUGGUGAAACCCUGUCUCUACUAAAAAUACAAAAAAUAGCCAGGUGUGGUGGCAGGUGCCUAUAAUCCCAGCUACUCAGGAGGCUGAGGCAGGAGAACUGCUUGAACCCAGGAGGCGGAGAUUGCAGUAAGCCAAGAUUGUGCCACUGCACUCCAGCCUGGGUGACAGAGCAAGACUCUGUCUCAAAAAUAAAUAAAUAAAUAAAUAAAUAAUUUUGGGGCUCUAGUAAGAAGAGAUGGCUGAUCUGCUCUCUGUUAACUUCCUCUCCUUUGAUAGAUGUGCCUGGGGGCAGAAGAGGGGCAGCUUGCAGAUGGCAGCCUGUGCAUAGAGGCCCUGAAGGGGCUUGUCUGUUUUUAUUAUACUGACUUUCAACUAACUUGACUGCUGCUGCCUCUGCCUUUCUCAGUCCUGAGCCUUUCCGGGUUCUGCAGGGCUCACCAGAGCCCUCCUUGGUUAAGCUCUUUCUGCCUGAAUUCUUGGCCAGGGCUUCCUCUGCCUGGCCACUCCACCUGCCUGACACCUCCUAGAAAUGUGUUGAACUCUGGUCCACCUCUCAGAUGCUACCCUUCAGAUUGGGCCAACUGGAUAGAGCAAAA